GUUCCUUCUGCCUCGGCCUCCCAAAAUACUGGGAUUACAAGCGUGAGCCACUGUGCCCAGUCUGCAGAGCUGGGUUUUGAAUUCACAGAGCCAGGCCCCAGACCUGAGGCUGAAUAAGGAAGAGAUGAAAUGGGGAAGUCAACAAGAAGUGGGAUCACCUAACGUGUCCGGGGUGGGAAACGGGGGCUCUUGGUGUACAACCCUGGCCCACCUGGGGCAUCCCCCACCGCCAGGUCCCCUGCCGAUGGAGGCCAUUGAGAAGAUGGCCAGCCUGUGCAUGAGAGACCCGGAUGAGGAUGAGGAGGAGGGCACGGAUGAGGAUGACUUGGAGGCUGAUGAUGACCUGCUGGCGGAGCUAAAUGAGGUCCUUGGAGAGGAGCAGAAGGCUUCAGAGACCCCACCUCCUGUGGCCCAGCCAAAGCCUGAGGCCCCCCAUCCGGGGCUGGAGGCCACCUUGCAGGAGAGGCUGGCGCUCUAUCAGACAGCAAUUGAAAGCGCCAGGCAAGCUGGAGACAGCGCCAAGAUGCGGCGCUACGACCGGGGGCUUAAAGUAAGUGGGCAGAGGGCAGGGUACAGG
Molecule: long non-coding RNA, 577 nt
Filed under: Rhinopithecus bieti (black snub-nosed monkey)
Lineage: Eukaryota; Metazoa; Chordata; Mammalia; Primates; Cercopithecidae
Description: lncRNA (ENSRBIG00000045336.1)
Source: RNAcentral